RNAcentral lists this ribosomal RNA (340 nucleotides) under Blagorrhina sp. DK-2014. RNAcentral's name for it is "partial 16S ribosomal RNA". The record is from RNAcentral. Lineage: Eukaryota; Metazoa; Arthropoda; Insecta; Diptera; Keroplatidae.
UUUUUUAAUUGAUAACUAGUAUGAAAGGUUGAAUAAAAUAUUAACUGUUUCGUAUAAAUUUUAUUAGAAUUUAAUUUUUUAAUUAAAAAGUUAAGAUUAAAUUAGAGGACGAGAAGACCCUAUAGAAUUUAAUAAAUAAUAUUUAUAAAAUUAUUAAGUUUAUUUAAAUUUUUUAAAAAAUUUUAUUUUAUUGGGGUGAUAUUAUAAUUUAAUAAACUUAUUUUUUAUUAUUAACAUAAAUAUGUGAAUUUAGGAUUUUAUAAUAAAGAUUAAUAGAAUAAUUACCUUAGGGAUAACAGCGUAAUAUUAUUUUUAAGUUCUUAUUUAUAAUAAUGAUUGC